GUUGACCUCGAAUCAGGUAGGAAUACCCGCUGAACUUAAGCAUAUCAAUAAGCGGAGGAAAAGAAACCAACAGGGAUUGCCUUAGUAACGGCGAGUGAAGCGGCAACAGCUCAAAUUUGAAAUCUGGCUCUCGGGCCCGAGUUGUAAUUUGUAGAGGAUGCUUUUGGUGAGGUGCCUUCCGAGUUCCCUGGAACGGGACGCCACAGAGGGUGAGAGCCCCGUCUGGUUGGACACCGAUCCUCUGUAAAGCUCCUUCGACGAGUCGAGUAGUUUGGGAAUGCUGCUCUAAAUGGGAGGUAUAUGUCUUCUAAAGCUAAAUACCGGCCAGAGACCGAUAGCGCACAAGUAGAGUGAUCGAAAGAUGAAAAGAACUUUGAAAAGAGAGUUAAAAAGUACGUGAAAUUGUUGAAAGGGAAGCGCUUGUGACCAGACUUGGGCUUGGUUGAUCAUCCAGGGUUCUCCCUGGUGCACUCUUCCGGCCCAGGCCAGCAUCAGUUCGCCCCGGGGGA
This 509-nucleotide ribosomal RNA is filed under the name fungal sp. RNAcentral's name for it is "eukaryotic LSU rRNA". It matches the Rfam family "Eukaryotic large subunit ribosomal RNA", at positions 1 to 519 of the family's 3401-position model. Lineage: Eukaryota; Fungi. The record is from RNAcentral.